AUUGAACGCUGGCGGCAGGCCUAACACAUGCAAGUCGAGCGGCAGCGGGAAAGUAGCUUGCUACUUUUGCCGGCGAGCGGCGGACGGGUGAGUAAUGCCUGGGGAUCUGCCCAGUCGAGGGGGAUAAUAGUUGGAAACGACUGCUAAUACCGCAUACGCCCUACGGGGGAAAGGAGGGGACCUUCGGGCCUUUCGCGAUUGGAUGAACCCAGGUGGGAUUAGCUAGUUGGUGGGGUAAUGGCUCACCAAGGCGACGAUCCCUAGCUGGUCUGAGAGGAUGAUCAGCCACACUGGAACUGAGACACGGUCCAGACUCCUACGGGAGGCAGCAGUGGGAAUAUUGCACAAUGGGGGAAACCCUGAUGCGGCCAUGCCGCGUGUGUGAAGAAGGCCUUCGGGUUGUAAAGCACUUUCAGCGAGGAGGAAAGGUUGGUAGCUAAUAACUGCCAGCUGUGACGUUACUCGCAGAAGAAGCACCGGCUAACUCCGUGCCAGCCGCCGCCGUAA
RNAcentral lists this ribosomal RNA (507 nucleotides) under uncultured bacterium. RNAcentral describes it as "partial 16S ribosomal RNA". It matches the Rfam family "Bacterial small subunit ribosomal RNA", at positions 30 to 523 of the family's 1533-position model. The record is from RNAcentral.